This 72-nucleotide transfer RNA is filed under the name bacterium. RNAcentral's name for it is "tRNA-Arg". It matches the Rfam family "tRNA". From Rfam's summary of the family: Transfer RNA (tRNA) molecules are approximately 80 nucleotides in length. Their secondary structure includes four short double-helical elements and three loops (D, anti-codon, and T loops). Further hydrogen bonds mediate the characteristic L-shaped molecular structure. tRNAs have two regions of fundamental functional importance: the anti-codon, which is responsible for specific mRNA codon recognition, and the 3' end, to which the tRNAs corresponding amino acid is attached (by aminoacyl-tRNA synthetases). tRNAs cope with the degeneracy of the genetic code in two manners: having more than one tRNA (with a specific anti-codon) for a particular amino acid; and 'wobble' base-pairing, i.e. permitting non-standard base-pairing at the 3rd anti-codon position. The record is from RNAcentral.
GCCCUCAUCAUUCAAUGGAUAGGAUUCAAGCUUCCGAAGCUUGCAAUAUAGGUUCGAUUCCUAUUGAGGGCA